Molecule: unclassified non-coding RNA, 238 nt
Filed under: air metagenome
Description: partial contains small subunit ribosomal RNA, internal transcribed spacer 1, and 5.8S ribosomal RNA
Rfam family: Eukaryotic small subunit ribosomal RNA (bases 1-46)
Source: RNAcentral
AAGUCGUAACAAGGUCUCCGUUGGUGAACCAGCGGAGGGAUCAUUACUAAGCAAGUUGAAAAACUGCUAAACCCUUGUGAAUAUACCUGUUUAGUUGCUUCGGCGGGCAGCCCCAGGGCGGGGCCGCAGCCUUUUAUAGGUGCCCGCCGACAGCAUUAAAACUCUUAUUUUUACAGUUACUCUUGAGUUAUAAAAAUUAAAUAAGUCAAAACUUUCAACAACGGAUCUCUUGGCUUUG